RNAcentral lists this ribosomal RNA (163 nucleotides) under uncultured Photobacterium sp. RNAcentral describes it as "partial 16S ribosomal RNA". It matches the Rfam family "Bacterial small subunit ribosomal RNA", at positions 370 to 529 of the family's 1533-position model. The record is from RNAcentral. Lineage: Bacteria; Pseudomonadati; Pseudomonadota; Gammaproteobacteria; Vibrionales; Vibrionaceae.
UCUGGACGCAGCCUGAUGCAGCCAUGCCGCGUGUGUGAGAAGGCCUUCGGGUUGUAAAGCACUUUCAGUAGGGAGGAAGGUAGUGUAGUUAAUACCUGCAUUAUUUGACGUUACCUACAGAAGAAGCACCGGCUAACUCCGUGCCAGCAGCCGCGGUAAUAGA